Papaver somniferum (opium poppy) is the source of this 633-nucleotide long non-coding RNA. RefSeq lists it as uncharacterized. The transcript is spliced from 3 exons. The record is from RefSeq and is a predicted model, not a curated record. Lineage: Eukaryota; Viridiplantae; Streptophyta; Magnoliopsida; Ranunculales; Papaveraceae.
GUUGUUUUUGUUGUUACAUUGAGGUUGCUUUGAUUGUCAAUGUAGGUUGUUUCUGUAGUCAAUUUGAUUCAGUUAAACAUGAUUUAGCGGGUUUUGUAAUUUAUUUUGAGAUUGGUGUUUAGGAAUGCAGGUAAUUGAGGAUGUUUCUGUUGUCAAUUUUUUGAUGCAUGUGAUAGGGUUUACCUGUGUCUAAUCGGCGGGUUUUUUUUUCCUCUUAAUGUAUGCAACUUUGGGACUUCACAAGAAGCUUCUGUAAAGAGCACCAAAAGCUGGCAAGAUGCUUAAUCUUGAUAAUGCUAACUAAAAGCUGGCAAGAUCCUAACCUGCCAGGAUGAACAGGUGGGAAAUGUGUGCACAUGUUCAGGUGGUUUCGAAAACUGAGAGCGAGGAAGAAGUGUUAAUGCUACAACAGCGGAGGGCACUCGGUCUGCUAACAUAAACCUUCAUAAAAGUCCUCGACUCAAACAGCACAUUCAAGCACAACCUGAGAUAUGUAAGUGUUCUUAAUGGCUUUAAUUUUGGCUCAAUUUUUUCCGUCUUAGCUCAGUUGGUAGAGCGUACGGCUUUUUGCCAUAAGGUCGUGGGUGAUUCCCACAGACGGAAUACAAGUUAUAUGAGAUUGUAUAUUUGUAA